GGAGAGAUAGCGAAGAGGCUAAACGCGGCGGACUGUAAAUCCGCCCUCAUGCGUUGGUUCGAAUCCAGCUACCCCA
RNAcentral lists this transfer RNA (76 nucleotides) under Streptococcus sp. VT 162. RNAcentral describes it as "tRNA-Tyr (GTA) (tRNA-Tyr-GTA-1-1)". It matches the Rfam family "tRNA". Rfam says of the family: Transfer RNA (tRNA) molecules are approximately 80 nucleotides in length. Their secondary structure includes four short double-helical elements and three loops (D, anti-codon, and T loops). Further hydrogen bonds mediate the characteristic L-shaped molecular structure. tRNAs have two regions of fundamental functional importance: the anti-codon, which is responsible for specific mRNA codon recognition, and the 3' end, to which the tRNAs corresponding amino acid is attached (by aminoacyl-tRNA synthetases). tRNAs cope with the degeneracy of the genetic code in two manners: having more than one tRNA (with a specific anti-codon) for a particular amino acid; and 'wobble' base-pairing, i.e. permitting non-standard base-pairing at the 3rd anti-codon position. Lineage: Bacteria; Bacillati; Bacillota; Bacilli; Lactobacillales; Streptococcaceae. The record is from RNAcentral.